CGGCCGCGCGCCGCGGGGGGAGGAGACGGUCUGGAGUCCCCCCGCUGCGCCGGGGUUGGGGAGACGGAGGACUGCAGCGCCCCUUGGGGCUUCUGAGGCGCCCAGGUAACCUCACCUGGCCGCCAGUCUCCCGCAGGAGGAACAGACACGUUGGCCUGUGGCAAAGUGGCAACGUCAGGGCAGAAGGAUGUAACUGAUAAAAGCUGCUCACACCUAAGUAGCCAGGAAACAGAGAGAAAUGGAGACAAAUAUAUGAUACAGCCUACCAAGACACAUUCCUAGUGACCUUCCCAUCUUUGGCUUUCCAACAAUUCACAAGAACACCCUUAAUUAUGAAUUCAUCAACAAAUCAAUUAAGUCAAAGCUCCCAUGAUGUAAUCACUUCCCUAUAUCCUCCCGUUGAACAUCCUC
RNAcentral lists this long non-coding RNA (411 nucleotides) under Mus pahari (shrew mouse). RNAcentral's name for it is "lncRNA (MGP_PahariEiJ_G0012393.1)". Lineage: Eukaryota; Metazoa; Chordata; Mammalia; Rodentia; Muridae. The record is from RNAcentral.